UACAGAGGUCCCAAGCGUUGUUCGGAUUCACUGGGCGUAAAGGGUGCGUAGGCGGCGGGGUAAGUUCAAUGUGAAAGCUCCGGGCUCAACCCGGAAAUGGCAUCGAAGACUAUCCCGCUCGAGGAUUGGAGGGGGGACUGGAAUUCUCGGUGUAGCAGUGAAAUGCGUAGAUAUCGAGAGGAACACCAGUGGCGAAGGCGAGUCCCUGGACAAUUCCUGACGCUGAGGCACGAAAGCUAGGGGAG
Molecule: ribosomal RNA, 245 nt
Filed under: uncultured bacterium
Lineage: Bacteria
Description: partial 16S ribosomal RNA
Rfam family: Bacterial small subunit ribosomal RNA
Source: RNAcentral